RNAcentral lists this ribosomal RNA (252 nucleotides) under uncultured bacterium. RNAcentral's name for it is "partial 16S ribosomal RNA". It matches the Rfam family "Bacterial small subunit ribosomal RNA", at positions 524 to 776 of the family's 1533-position model. The record is from RNAcentral.
UACGAAGGGUGCAAGCGUUACUCGGAAUUACUGGGCGUAAAGCGUGCGUAGGCGGUUUGUUAAGUCUGAUGUGAAAUCCCCGGGCUCAACCUGGGACCUGCAUUGGAAACUGGCGAGCUAGAGUACGGUAGAGGGUGGUGGAAUCCCGGUGUAGCAGUGAAAUGCGUAGAGAUCGGGAGGAACACUCGUGGCGAAGGCGGCCACCUGGACCAGUACUGACGCUGAGGCACGAAAGCGUGGGGAGCAAACAGG